AAAAGCUCCCAGUGGAACGUGUUGGUGCCAACUUUGACCAUACCUGUCAGACAAGUGACAGCUGGCUCCCUUCCUUUGGGCGUGUAUGGAAUCAUGGCAGGAGGUGGCAGUCCCGGCAUCAGUUUAGAACUGAAUCAGGGGAAAAGAAG
This is a long non-coding RNA of Ficedula albicollis (Collared flycatcher), 149 nucleotides long. RefSeq lists it as uncharacterized. The record is from RefSeq and is a predicted model, not a curated record. Lineage: Eukaryota; Metazoa; Chordata; Aves; Passeriformes; Muscicapidae. The transcript is spliced from 2 exons.